Long non-coding RNA from Xiphophorus maculatus (southern platyfish), 500 nucleotides. RefSeq lists it as uncharacterized. Lineage: Eukaryota; Metazoa; Chordata; Actinopteri; Cyprinodontiformes; Poeciliidae. The record is from RefSeq and is a predicted model, not a curated record. The transcript is spliced from 3 exons.
ACAAUUCCUCCUUCAGACACAAUUUUCCUUUCAAAUCAAAUCACCUUACUUGGAGUUUUUGUGCUGAUUGUCAUCAUUGUACAAGGAAUCAUUUCCAUAUGUUGCUGCAGGAAUAAACACAACAGAAGAAAACUGAAAAUCCUGACUUGGAAUGAACUGACCAGCGCUGCAUUAUACCAGGAAGCAGCGGUGGCUGAGCCGUACCUUAAACAGGAAGUGACCAGGUUUUAUUCUGAAGUCAAAGUGACCUGUUGUCAAACUACAAACCAAUGAAUCAUUUCAUACAGACUGAGAGGAUUUCUUCUCCUGCAUGUGAUCAAUGUUUGCACUGGGUUGAAGAAGUGAAAAAAUAUGUUUUAUUUUUUUGCCACCAAUUAGUAAAUAGUAAUCCUAUCUGACCUAAGUAGAAAAAAAGUUGUUUCUUAUUAUAAAGUGAAUGUUGCUACUAGUUAGCAAGACUAAACUGACUCAUUUAUUUUUGGCGACUGAUGAUAUCUUGA